Long non-coding RNA from Falco peregrinus (peregrine falcon), 2942 nucleotides. RefSeq lists it as uncharacterized. The transcript is spliced from 6 exons. The record is from RefSeq and is a predicted model, not a curated record. NCBI's taxonomy places the organism in Eukaryota, Metazoa, Chordata, Aves, Falconiformes, Falconidae.
CAACGAGCCCCUGCCCGCCCCGGCGCGGGACGGCAGCCCCAGCCCCUCCUCGGCCGGCUCCGGGCCGCGCUGCCCGGCGGGGCCGGCCCAGCCCCGGAAGGUGGGUUCAUUUCCGGCCCGCGCGGCGCGCUGGAGCGGCGGUGGCGGUGCGGCGCCUUCGCCGGGAGCCUGGAAGACUUUCGGGCCGGGACGUGCGGCGGCGCGCUGGAUUUGAGCGUCGAUGCCGCGGAUGUAACAUGAGAGCAGCAGCAGGAUGUAGAGCACAAGCUGUUUAAACAACGCUUGGAUAAAGCUGCCAAUCGUGUGACUCUAGAAGCCGAGAGACAUGGUCCUUUACACACUUCCUCACAGGAGCUUGUGUCGUCAUCAGAGGCAUAUUUACAGUCGCAGGACUCAUUGAUUCCUUGAUCUAUCACUCAGCACGUGCCAUCCAGAAGAAAAUUGAACUAGGGAAGACAACAUAAAUAAGCAAGGAGCUCACUCCACAAAAUAAUCCCCAACCCUCUUUAAGGAGAACUAAACGGAUUUUUAGAAACACAAGUGAUCUUCUGACUACACAAGAGAAGAGGUUUGGAAUUACCAGGAGGAGGUGGAGUAUGGAAAACCUCAUGGGAGGCCCCGUGCUGAUCCUGCUGAUGACUAGCGUGUCCACUGGAAACAGAGCCAAAGAAAACUGGGCAGAUGAAGCUUUCCACUGGAGCAAAAGAGAAUUUACAGGCUACCUACUUACAAGGACAUAUGAAGAAUUUCAUUUGUUUCUGGCUUCCAGACCCCACGCAGCAGUUGCUCAAAGUUAGACAUCAAGGCAACACCAGAACCUGCAAAACAGUAGAAGCAAACAGCUAGAACUGCCACACCAGAAGAAAGUUCCGAUGCCUCUUCCAGAUCCCCAAGGGACAAGGAUGACCGAAGGGGAACAAAAAGGUCAUGACAUUCUUCCCAAAUUUAAAAGAAGUUAGCCUAAAAGAGAAGAGUGGGGCAAAUGCCUUCCAGACUUUCUGUAGAGUGUUUCCCAAGACAGGGAAAGGGCAUUUGCCUCCGUUCCUUUUACUGAUGCUCAAGUGCUUGUUGCAAAUAAAAGCUAAAAGAAAACUGCCUGGGCUGUUAGAACAUUGAUAGAACCCCCCUGAAAAGCUACAGGCGAGGCCAGAGACAGUAGAACAUGGGAGGAAGAACAAAGAAUUCCAGAAUUCUACACCCGUAUUUCAUAGUUUUUCAUGUUCUCCAGUUCUUCAUGCCUCUGUUAACAUUAGAUGACGGCUCAACUGACAGCCCUCCUGGCAAGUAUGACUAACUGUCGGUGUUCUGGGAAACCUGACUGAUUGAGGCCAGCUGACUGCAGCCACUAACCAGCCUGCUGAGGGAUGUGGUCACCUUAAGCUUCCCUCGCAGAUUCUCCCAUCCCUCCCCACAGAGCUCAGAUUAACAGUAUGUCAUGUUUCACCUUUGACCCAUCCAACAGCCAUCAUAACGAACCACCCGUGGUGGUAACGGUGAUAAGCAUGGUGGACCCCAGCUGCAAUUUUGCGAACUCUCACCACCUCUUUCAUCGCCACAAAGAUAAGCUUCACAGGCAGAAAGCUAACGCACUUGUAGAAGAGGUUCAUGGGACAGAAGAAUAUCAAAUACCUGCAAGAAAACCACGAAGAGUUUAAGGACCCGUUUGUUUGUCCUGAUCUGGGACAUACAGAGAGGACUGAUCCAGAGCUCUGUAGUGUUGGGGAGAAGGAAACACUGGUUCUGUCACACAAUAGCAUGUACAACCCGUACGCACCCACGAAAUUAAACUUGGAGUAGUUAUGGUUAAUUUGCGCACAUUUCACUAACAAAACAAAUAAAAUGCCCCCAGAUUUUCAGUGUGUGCCACUCCUCCACUGUAUGUGGUAUCAGUGCAGCACACGCUGCACUUGCAUCUUGGCAUAGUUCUGCUGCAGCAGCUAUGAAUAGAAAUGCCCAGCAACUGGACUGCACCCAACCCAUAUCAUCAAAGCGUUAAGACAACUGGUCAGAGAAACUGGAAACUAGGAGUACAAAAGACUCAAAGGCUACAUCACCCCACCCCUUCUUUCCCCAGUUAAUCCAAGCAAGAUAAUACAAGUGUGUCACACAAACAGAAUACCUCCCUUCACACCCGAAGGUCUUGUACACAGCCAGCGGUGUCUCACGCUUAAUAAAUCAGGUGAAGUGCAAAAGACUCACCAGACUGCUGUGGCCAGGAUGAUGCUGGAGUUAUUACUGAAGUAAUCAAUAGGUGGUUCUCCAAGUAACAGAUCAGCAAGUAUGUAACUUCCAAAGCAGUGGAGCAUAGCGCAAAGCCAGGAGGCAAAAGGGCUCUUACGAGACAUCUCCACGGCUCCUGUGAAGCAAAUUCUAAAUGAGAAGAGGAAUUCGGCAAAUAGGUAGAAACUUCAAGACACUCUAUGACAGAAGCUUGUGGUGCAUGUUCUCCAACAAAAUAAGUCAAAAGAAAAGUGCUUGUAAAACAAGAUACAAAAAUGUGUAUUCUCUGAAACCUGAACAAGUACCAGAUACUGUCCAGAAAUGAUACGCCUGAUCAUAGCUUGCAGGCCCCCCUUAAAGUUCCGGAUGAACUGAGUCAUUAGAAGUUUAUGAAUUGGCUCGGUUUCUCUCCUGUAUUUGCUGCGACUUGCUGCAAUCAGAACGAGCAACUUUUCCCUUGAAAACAUCUUUUUACAGUCUAAAAAUAAAAUGCAUACUAGUACCAUUCUCUCCAUUGCUUCAACCUAGGUGCCCUCUAGAAUUCAUGAACAAUCUGUUCAGCUCUUUCAUUCAUAAGAUAACCUGCAAAAAUAGAACAGUAAUUCUUAAUCUUUAUUUGAAAGAAAAGGAUUUGAGGAUUUUUCCCUGCUCCUCUACUACUUUGGAAAUGGCUUCUGAAAAUACAACUAGUUAUUAAAACAGUGUCACUCCUUGGUAAUACA